Long non-coding RNA from Musca domestica (house fly), 2667 nucleotides. RefSeq lists it as uncharacterized. Lineage: Eukaryota; Metazoa; Arthropoda; Insecta; Diptera; Muscidae. The transcript is spliced from 3 exons. The record is from RefSeq and is a predicted model, not a curated record.
AGAUGCUACUUGCAAAAGAGACAUGUUAAAGUUAUAUAUGUAUAGAAACAUGUACGAAAUUGAUUAAAGGCUUGCUCUCGGCCUGAACAGUUGCUGACAGCGGGCUGAGGGCUGUCAAAUAAAUAUUCUCUUAAAACUAAAUAACAAAAACAAUUCGAAUGUGUCUGCUUUGCAAUGUUAAACAGAGCGUUUACAAUUAUAAACAUAAACAAUUGAAAAUAAAUAUAAUGAGUGAGUGAUUAAAGUGUAUAUAAUAAAAUAAGAUAAAUCACAGCGAAUUCCAACUAACCAUAAUUUGGAUAUUAUAAAAUAUAAAAAUUAAUGGCGAGAUGGAAAACCAAAUUGGAAAUCCAUACAGCAGAAUUGGACGAAUGGCUGCCUUGUAUAGUAGGAGUUUAGUCUUUUCUGUAGAUCGAACAUGUGAAUUAAAUUUAAGCAGCAUAUUAAAUGUUACUCCACGGUACUGCAUGUUUGCUUUAAAAGGGAUUUCCACACCUUCUAACGCCGUUCGUAGCAGCUUACUUUCCGGUACCACAUGUUUUGAACAUUUCCCCCAUGCGUUCCUUAUGCAGAUAGCUUGAGACUUGCAGCAUUAAUGCAUAUACCCCAUUUUUUAUAAUAUUGUUGUAUUAUGAAUAAGUGCUCCUCUACGUGACGUAGUGCAUACUCUGGUGAAGCAUUAUGUGCAUAAAUUAAGCAAUCGUCUGCAUAGAGAAUUGCUUUUGAAUGAAAUGUAGAGUGAGGAAAGUCAUUUAGGAAUGUGUUGAACAGAAAAGGUGCUAAGACACUCCCAUGAGGAACCCCACUGUUAACUGAACCUUGGAUUGACUUAUCGUUUUUUAUUUGUACAAAGAAUUUACGAUCGGAAAGGUAGUUUUGUAUUAUUUCCUCGUAUUAUUUUGAUUAAAAAUGGGUCCACACCCAGUUCAAUGAGUUUAUAUACAAUUGCUUUGUGGCACACGGAGUCAAAGGCUUUUUCUAUGUCCAAGGAUAUGGCUACAGUACUGAUACGAUUUUUCAAAUUUGCUGUAGUGUCGUUGUGGAAAUUUAAAAUGUGUUGAAUGUUUUCAUUGGAAACCAAAUUGAAAGUUAGAUAUAUGAUUUGUAAUGAACUCAUUUUCUAUUUUUUCUUUUAGGACAUGUUCAAAUAUUUUACCGAGAUUUGAUAGGAGAGAGAUCGGACGAAAUCAGCAACACUUUCGCUAUUGGCCUUUCUUGGGACUGGAACAAUUUUUGCUAGCUUCCACAUUUCGGGAAAGUAGCCAUUAUUGAUAGAGUUAUUACAAAUGCAUGUUAUAAUUCGCAGAGCAGUUUCAGGAAAUUUGCGCAUACAAAAAUUUGAGAUUCCAUCAACUCCACUUGACUUUUUAUUAUUGGCCUUUUGUAUAAUUUCUUUGAUUUUUUCAGGAUUGGCGAAAUGGUAAUUAUCUGUAUUUGAUAUUGAGUUGAACUGUCUGUCGAAUGUAUAUAUACUUGGAGAUAUGGAUGUGAGACAAGAAGAAAUUUUGGAUUGAAGAAUAUCAGUUGGAAAUUCAGUUAUAGUUUCUUGGAAGGAAAACGUAUAGUACUGGUGGAAAUAAUUUGCAAUUUCAGAAUGAUUAAAAACAUUGGUGUUGUUGACCUGCAAUUGCUGGCAGAACGGGUAUUUCUUUCUGCCGCUGAACUUAUAAAUCUCUUUAAAAGCAGAUGGGCCAGGUUUAAUAUCUUGGAGACGAUUGUUGAAUGUGUCUGCUUGUUCAAUGCUUAUUGAUUCUUUUAUUAUUACUUUCAGAAGCUGAAUUUGUUUGGAUAAUAUACGAUCAUCGCUGCUCAUUCUAUUUCCUGUUCUAUGAAAUAUCUUUUUUAAUUCUUUCUGCCAUUUAUGUUUUACUUUUUAAAGCCGUUUGAAUCUCUCAGAGAGAGGAAAGAGACCGUUGCUGAUUGUGAUUAUCUGUGAGUGGGCAUCGUGAAUUGAGUUUAAACAGCUGUUGAAGGAGUCAACUAAUCCAUCAAUAUCUUCAUUACUAAGAUUAGUUUCUGCUGAAGGAAAUAUAUGAAGGAGUAGCAUUUAAAAUCAAGUCGGUGCAAUCCAUUUUUAUUGACAUUUUUAACGGGAAAUGGUCCGAAAAUGAUGGUAAAGACGAAAUUACGAAGUUUGGUGUUAUGUUGUCCAACAGAUUGGAGCUGACAAGAAAAUGAUCCAAAUAGGGAGGGCCAUUCGGAUAUGACGGUGACACAUCGCAUACUCGAACUACGUCUAAUAUGUUUGUUUGCAGCCAAACUUUCAAAGAUUUUCCGUUGGUAUUCUCUGCAGAGUCACCCAGUCUGUGUUUCUUGAAUUAAAAUCCCACCGAAAAUAAGGCCGUCAUAUCUUGCACACACUUGCAUGAGUUUAUCUAGAUCAGCUUCCAGCUGAUGAGCAGAAUAAUUGCAAGGGACGUAUAAAGAUCCCAACGCGAAUUUUUUUCGAACUGAAUUUUGUAGACAUUCAAUUUGAAUCAUGCAUGCUUUUACGCCGACAUCACUGAUAACAAUUUUUGUGUGCAAUAUGGACUUUUUUAUUAAAACGGCUACGUGGCACUCUUGGAUAAAUCCCACAUCGAUGUUAUUGGCCGAAAGCGUUCUUUGCAGAUCAAUUUGUCUACUUUUGUCAUUAAUAGAUCUAACAUUGAAUGUCAAUAAAUUAAA